CUAGUUGGUAAGGUAAUGGCUUACCAAGGCUACGAUGUUUAGGGGAUCUGAGAGGAUGACCCCCCACACUGGUACUGAGACACGGACCAGACUCCUACGGGAGGCAGCAGUAAGGAAUAUUGGUCAAUGGGCGGAAGCCUGAACCAGCCAUGCCGCGUGCAGGAAGACGGCCCUACGGGUUGUAAACUGCUUUUGUACCGGAAUAAACCUCAUUAUGUAUAAUGAGCUGAAUGUACGGUAAGAAUAAGGAUCGGCUAACUCCGUGCCAGCAGCCGCGGUAAUACGGAGGAUCCAAGCGUUAUCCGGAUUUAUUGGGUUUAAAGGGUGCGUAGGCGGCCUGUUAAGUCAGGGGUGAAAGACGGUAGCUCAACUAUCGCAGUGCCCUUGAUACUGAUGGGCUUGAAUGUACUAGAGGUAGGCGGAAUGUGACAAGUAGCGGUGAAAUGCAUAGAUAUGUCACAGAACACCAAUUGCGAAGGCAGCUUACUAUGGUAUGAUUGACGCUGAGGCACGAAAGCGUGGGGAUCAAACAGGAUUAGAUACCCUGGUAGUCCACGCCCUAAACGAUGAAUACUCGAUGUUAGCGAUAUACAGUUAGCGUCAAAGCGAAAGCGUUAAGUAUUCCACCUGGGGAGUACGCCCGCAAGGGUGAAACUCAAAGGAAUUGACG
Molecule: ribosomal RNA, 670 nt
Filed under: uncultured Bacteroidota bacterium
Lineage: Bacteria; Pseudomonadati; Bacteroidota
Description: SSU rRNA
Rfam family: Bacterial small subunit ribosomal RNA
Source: RNAcentral